RNAcentral lists this ribosomal RNA (715 nucleotides) under uncultured Caulobacteraceae bacterium. RNAcentral describes it as "bacterial SSU rRNA". It matches the Rfam family "Bacterial small subunit ribosomal RNA", at positions 28 to 776 of the family's 1533-position model. The record is from RNAcentral. Lineage: Bacteria; Pseudomonadati; Pseudomonadota; Alphaproteobacteria; Caulobacterales; Caulobacteraceae.
AGCGAACGCUGGCGGCAGGCCUAACACAUGCAAGUCGAACGAACUCUUCGGAGUUAGUGGCGGACGGGUGAGUAACACGUGGGAACGUGCCUUUAGGUUCGGAAUAACUCAGGGAAACUUGUGCUAAUACCGAAUGUGCCCCCCGAUUCAUUUUGGGGUGGGAAAGAUUUAUCGCCUUUAGAGCGGCCCGCGUCUGAUUAGCUAGUUGGUGAGGUAAAGGCUCACCAAGGCGACGAUCAGUAGCUGGUCUGAGAGGAUGAUCAGCCACACCGGGACUGAGACACGGCCCAGACUCCUACGGGAGGCAGCAGUGGGGAAUAUUGGACAAUGGGGGAAGCCCUGAUCCAGCAAUGCUGCGUGAGUGAUGAAGGCCUUAGGGUUGUAAAGCUCUUUUACCAGGGAUGAUAAUGACAGUACCUGGAGAAUAAGCUCCGGCUAACUCCGUGCCAGCAGCCGCGGUAAUACGGAGGGAGCUAGCGUUGUUCGGAAUUACUGGGCGUAAAGCGCACGUAGGCGGUUAUUCAAGUCAGAGGUGAAAGCCCGGGGCUCAAUCCCGGAACAGCCUUUGAAACUAGAUAACUAGAAUUCUGGAGAGGUCAGUGGAAUUCCGAGUGUAGAGGUGAAAUUCGUAGAUAUUCGGAAGAACACCAGUGGCGAAGGCGACUGACUGGACAGAUAUUGACGCUGAGGUGCGAAAGCGUGGGGAGCAAACAGG